Melanotaenia boesemani (Boeseman's rainbowfish) is the source of this 282-nucleotide long non-coding RNA. RefSeq lists it as uncharacterized. The transcript has 3 exons. Lineage: Eukaryota; Metazoa; Chordata; Actinopteri; Atheriniformes; Melanotaeniidae. The record is from RefSeq and is a predicted model, not a curated record.
GACAGGAAGUGGUGAACCAAGAACCAAGGGUUAAGGAUUUUAUGGAAAGAUGGCCUGCACUUUUCAGAGAGAAAGAGAUAAAUGCAGAGUUCCAGAGGCUUGUGGCUCUACCCCUUGAGCAGACGUUUUUUGCCCAGCUCGACAAGUACUCUGAUCAGCUGAUUCACGUUAUCCAGGCAAAAGGAGGAGCAACACGUGAAAAAACUGCAAACAUCAUGCAAACUUUAAACCAGGCUGAUGACAUCCAUCUUCAGAGGGAGUGUGUCCUGAAAGCUCUCAUUA